GGGGGCAUAGCUCAGCUGGGAGAGCGAUGCGUUCGCAACGCAUAGGUCAAGGGUUCGAGUCCCUCUGUCUCCACCA
RNAcentral lists this transfer RNA (76 nucleotides) under Candidatus Allocopromorpha excrementavium. RNAcentral's name for it is "tRNA-Ala". It matches the Rfam family "tRNA". Rfam says of the family: Transfer RNA (tRNA) molecules are approximately 80 nucleotides in length. Their secondary structure includes four short double-helical elements and three loops (D, anti-codon, and T loops). Further hydrogen bonds mediate the characteristic L-shaped molecular structure. tRNAs have two regions of fundamental functional importance: the anti-codon, which is responsible for specific mRNA codon recognition, and the 3' end, to which the tRNAs corresponding amino acid is attached (by aminoacyl-tRNA synthetases). tRNAs cope with the degeneracy of the genetic code in two manners: having more than one tRNA (with a specific anti-codon) for a particular amino acid; and 'wobble' base-pairing, i.e. permitting non-standard base-pairing at the 3rd anti-codon position. RNAcentral also lists the same sequence under 1 other name. Lineage: Bacteria; Bacillati; Bacillota; Clostridia; Eubacteriales; Eubacteriaceae. The record is from RNAcentral.